Scaptodrosophila lebanonensis is the source of this 672-nucleotide long non-coding RNA. RefSeq lists it as uncharacterized. The record is from RefSeq and is a predicted model, not a curated record. NCBI's taxonomy places the organism in Eukaryota, Metazoa, Arthropoda, Insecta, Diptera, Drosophilidae. The transcript has 3 exons.
GGCAGCUCGUUCCUUCGCAAUCUAAUGGUGAAUUGCUAGCAUUUAAGAUAAAUGCCAACUGCACAUGGCUGGCCUGGCAACAACAGCCAAAAACAACAACAAGUGCAAGCCUAUUCAGCUUUGUCUGCCGUGCUAGUCAAGUCAGCCUGAGGAAAUAAUCUGCAUAUAAAUAGUGUAUACUAAAUGUGCGUGUAAAUAGUAGAAGCGAUGCCACUGCACGCCCUCUGAGUUUUAUGCACAACUGCAUUUUAAUUUUAUUUUUGUGCAACUAUCUGCACGUUGAACCGUGAAAAUGAAAUUGUUUGGAAAACGAAUCCUUCGAAAGUUGCACGGAAAGACAUUCAAUAUUUAGCCAAGUAUUGUAAAUGCUUCAAGCUACAAGUAUUUUCCCCAUCUACCCGAAGGCUGAACGCUUGUACUCGACAGUCUAAAAGCCACAUGAAUUUAAAAUGAAGGUAAAAGUAGGCGUACCCGACCCCAUAUUGAUGAACAAGUGAAAACAAUUCGUUAAAAUCUACUAUUGUUGCAAAAAUUGCAAAUAAAAUUCUACAGAACACAUUAAAUUUCAACAAUUCUACAGUGAAAUUCUUUAAUAUUGUAUUAGUUUUAAAAAUGCAUAAAAUAAUCCCAAAAUUGUAUAUUUGCGAAUACCAUAGCGAAUAGUUGAUAAAA